This 22-nucleotide microRNA is filed under the name Lytechinus variegatus (green sea urchin). RNAcentral describes it as "lva-miR-2001-5p". Lineage: Eukaryota; Metazoa; Echinodermata; Echinoidea; Temnopleuroida; Toxopneustidae. The record is from miRBase by way of RNAcentral. RNAcentral also lists the same sequence under 1 other name.
AUGUGACCGAUAUAAUGGGCAU